RNAcentral lists this ribosomal RNA (253 nucleotides) under uncultured bacterium. RNAcentral describes it as "partial 16S ribosomal RNA". It matches the Rfam family "Bacterial small subunit ribosomal RNA", at positions 524 to 776 of the family's 1533-position model. The record is from RNAcentral.
UACGUAGGGUGCGAGCGUUAAUCGGAAUUACUGGGCGUAAAGUGUGCGCAGGUGGCCGCGCAUGUCGAGUGUGAAAUCCCCGGGCUUAACUUGGGAACUGCGUUUGAAACUACAAGACUAGAAUAUGUCAGAGGGGGGUAGAAUUCCACGUGUAGCAGUGAAAUGCGUAGAGAUGUGGAGGAAUACCAAUGGCGAAGGCAGCCCCCUGGGAUAAUAUUGACGCUCAUGCACGAAAGCGUGGGGAGCAAACAGG